Molecule: transfer-messenger RNA, 368 nt
Filed under: Gallionellaceae
Lineage: Bacteria; Pseudomonadati; Pseudomonadota; Betaproteobacteria; Nitrosomonadales
Also listed under: 1 other name
Description: Nitrotoga sp002470125 Standard tmRNA
Rfam family: transfer-messenger RNA
About the family: Bacterial tmRNA, also known as 10Sa RNA or SsrA, is named for its dual tRNA and mRNA-like properties. Its role is to liberate the mRNA from a stalled ribosome.
Source: RNAcentral
GGGGGCGACCUGGCUUCGACGUGGGUUGCAAAGCAGCGCAGGGCAUACCGAGGACCCGCCACCUCGUAAAUCAGCUGGAAAAAAAUAGUCGCAAACGACGAAAAGUACGCUUUAGCCGCGUAAGCGGGUAGACCUCACACCCUGCUGUCCGUGGAGGGGCUCAAGGCCGUAAGGUCGCGAUGAGUGAGGUCAUUUACACGGAAUCGUGUCAUGCAGGGUUACUUUGUAUGGCAUUAAAUUUAGGUAACUCGUUCGGUAGCAGCCUGUUGGUUGGCGUCUGCCGAAUAAAAUUAAAUAACCUAACUAAGUAUGUAGAACUGUCUGUAGAGUGCUUGCGGACGCGGGUUCAAUUCCCGCCGCCUCCACCA